CCUACGUGAGGCAGCAGUAGGGAAUCUUCCACAAUGGGCGAAAGCCUGAUGGAGCAACGCCGCGUGGGUGAAGAAGGUCUUCGGAUCGUAAAACCCUGUUGUUAGAGAAGAAAGUGCGUGAGAGUAACUGUUCACGUUUCGACGGUAUCUAACCAGAAAGCCACGGCUAACUACGUGCCAGCAGCCGCGGUAAUACGUAGGUGGCAAGCGUUAUCCGGAUUUAUUGGGCGUAAAGGGAACGCAGGCGGUCUUUUAAGUCUGAUGUGAAAGCCUUCGGCUUAACCGGAGUAGUGCAUUGGAAACUGGAAGACUUGAGUGCAGAAGAGGUGAGUGGAACUCGAUGUGUAGCGGUGAAAUGCGUAGAUAUAAGGAAGAACACCAGUGGCGAAGGCGGCUCUCUGGUCUGUAACUGACGCUGAGGUUCGAAAGCGUGGGUAGCAAACAGGAUUAGAUACCCGUGUAGUC
This 465-nucleotide ribosomal RNA is filed under the name uncultured bacterium. RNAcentral's name for it is "partial 16S ribosomal RNA". It matches the Rfam family "Bacterial small subunit ribosomal RNA", at positions 338 to 795 of the family's 1533-position model. The record is from RNAcentral.